Molecule: long non-coding RNA, 1011 nt
Filed under: Amborella trichopoda
Lineage: Eukaryota; Viridiplantae; Streptophyta; Magnoliopsida; Amborellales; Amborellaceae
Description: long non-coding RNA (ATRI_LNC002525)
Source: RNAcentral
AUGACAUCCCUGAGUGUGUAGCAAGACUCAAGAUCAUGCCCCAAAUAUCUGUGGAACGGGCAAUACUUGGAGUAGUCCAACCCUGAUGGCCAUGGCGUCGGUCUCUCCUUGGCUCAGAACUAAAGGAAAGCAAUCAAUUCUAAUAGUAGGGAAGUGCUGCUAUCAAUCUUCAUAGGCGGCAGGUCAGUCAGCUAUCAAUCGCGACCCAUCCGUCUGUCUUUUUACCAAUUCCCCUCGCUCAACUAUGAGGUAGUCUCUAUCUGUUGAAUCGGAUCCAUAAUCAAAAUAGUUAGUCAGAACCACUGGCACUCAAAUCAGUAACUAUAUUUGUAGCUUGGCCUUGUUCCACACCUCCGGUUUCUAAAAAGAAGUAUUCAAAAUAUGAAUCAAUCGAAAUCUGAAUCGAAAGCCAAAGACCAAUUGAUUACUUGCUGACAGGCUAGUCUUUAUCGUGCACUCGGGAUUCUUAUCUUAAGGGUAUGAACUUCUCCUUCGUACUCUCUUCUGUGCAAGAUGAUUCAAUAGCUUUCCGGAUUAAGCUAAGCCUCGGCAAAACAAUUGAAUGUAUUUCCAAAGUAAAACUUCGCUUUUGUCGUAUAUUAAUAACUAAAUCAGUAUUGCGUAAGUAAGUCGGCAUAUUCAAAAAGGGAAAAGAGAGGAUCAAAAAACCAUCGCCCAAAGGUGCUCAUUGAGCCGGUCACUGGUGGCUAAGAGCCUUUCCUCACUCUAGAAGCCUUCAAAACCACCCACUUUCUUUUCUUGUUCGUAAGGGGAGGAAGAUUUCUUAGAAUAUGACUAUAUGGACGACUGAUGAUCAGUAAGCAGAAGAAAAGCAGAAACAGAACAGAAGCAGAAACCUCCUCAGAUAUAGAAAGCGCAUCUAAAUCGAAUGCCAUUCUGAAUGAGAGUAUGCUGAAGCUAAAUCUUCAAAAAAAGAAGAAUCACACCUGAGUUUCUACCGCCGGCCAGCUUUCAGUGGCCUUUUGCCAUCCCACGAAUUGGAUUCGAACC